Oxyura jamaicensis (ruddy duck) is the source of this 2173-nucleotide long non-coding RNA. RefSeq lists it as uncharacterized. The transcript is spliced from 2 exons. Lineage: Eukaryota; Metazoa; Chordata; Aves; Anseriformes; Anatidae. The record is from RefSeq and is a predicted model, not a curated record.
UAUUUGACAAGAGUUUAAGCCUCACAUUGGUAGAUUCUAGAUGUUGACAGCAUGUAAUCUUUACUUAACUUCACACCAGGAGCACAUCUUCCCUCAGUACAUCAUGUUUUUUUUGAAAACAAGGACUUUUGAUCUUCAUAAUUGCCUGUAGAGUCUGGGAGUUCCCAAAGCAGACCAGACACUCUUGCUCUCAGUGCCAAACAGACAUCAUUAAUAGUUGGCCUCUAUCCUAAGCACCUUGCAGCCCAAACAAAAGCUAGGUGCAAAGAGAUGGGCAAGGAAGACAAAAGAGUGUGAACCAGGAGGAAGGAAGGAGAACAAAGAUCAUGAGCCCAGUUGAUGCUGGGGUUCUCAGGCAGGAGGUGAUUUUGAUCAGUAGGAUCCUACUGGUGGGAAAAGUUCUUUUUAGGGACUCAAAGAAAAGGUCUAAGACUUUUAGUUUGAUCCAGUUUUCUUUUGUGGCCAGUCCAUUGCCAUGCUGUAUGCUUUGUGGGAACCAGGUUUCCUCCAGCCAAAUUUAGUUCUAGCGUGUGGAAUGAUUGAACUACAUCUAACCAGAGGCAUUCAGCGAGUAUAAUUUUUUUCAGCUUAUUUAUCUUCUCCUUUCCAAGAAACACAUUCAGGUGGCAAAGUGCGCUAGAUCUGUUUUGCUGUUAGAGCUCUCAAAAGCAAUUAAUUUCAAGCGAGGAGCUCUAUGAUUUGACCUGAAUUUCCUCAGUCUGUAGUCCCUUGCCUUCCUCUCCCCCCAGAAGCAAUGUUUCAAACUCCUUCCUUUAUCUGCUCAUCCUUAACCUGGUGGAAGUGUAUAAAACAUCUAGGUGAAUGGCAGCUGCUGCAGGACAUUUGUGUGAAAAAUGAUCAACAGAGAACAGACCUUAUUACCAUCUUUCAAAGUGGGUUCCUGGGGUUCAACAUGAAAGGCAGCAGAUGUUGGUUGCCCAUUUUUUUUGAAAGCCUAACCAUGAACCUCGGCCUUUUGGUCAGAUGUGAAAUUUUCAAAGAAGUGAGAUGUUUGUCAUAUCCCUCAGUAGCACAGGUUAUAUUGAGAACAACACUUUUUGGUUUUGUAGCCUAUAUAAAAGCGAAUGGAUGUCAGCAGCUGGAGAUUUGUUUUCUGAAUCGACUCCAGUCAUGAGUCACUGAGGCUCUGAAACGAUUUUAUACCUGGAGCCUGAGUUGUUAAACUCAGAAGCUGUUUUGACAUUGACUUAGUAGGGUUAUACCUCUGAGCAUCGUUCUGUAAGUUGCAGCGUCUCACAUGUGGGAGGUUUUCCAUUUGCGAUUUGUGGGUUGCUGAGAAAUCUUGGAGAGAAUUGUGAGGCUGAAGGACAUAACAGAAUGGCUUCUGGCCCUCAGGCUGACUAAUCAGGUCCUGGAAAAUAUUCAGUGAGGGCUGGCUUGUUUGUCAUGCAAAAGACCUGAGGCAGUGGCAAAGUUGGUUGCUGGAUUGUGACUUCUCUUUUUUAAGGAAUUUUUGCUGUCACUGGGGUGAGGAAUUCCCAUUUAGAGUUCAGCAGGUUUGAAAACACCACUGUGUGUGUCCCAUGUCAUCUGACAGCUUCCUUUACAAGCAGGGAAACCGAUACAACCAAAUGGAGAAUCCUAACCUGAUGAUCCCAGGAAAUGCCCCUGCAAAAAUGAUUUUAGUAGCUGGAGAGUUUUUUGUUUAGCUAAGAAAAGAUUGGUUAACUAAACACUCUGCAACUGCAGAACUGCAACUUGGCACUUGCCUUCCUUUACAGUUUCACAGAGAAUGAGAAGACAAAUGAUCUUGUCUCAGAUGACAGAUUCUGCCACGAGUAACCUUCUGUCUAGCUUCAGUGAUGCUUCCAGUUGCUGGCAUGAUACUGAGCCAUUUUCAGUAUCAAGCAGCAUUUAAGAUGUCCCAUCUUUUGUUUUAUGGCACUGUGCCUCAACUCAUUGUAGCUACUAUUUUACAUCGUGCUCAUAUUUUACAUCCAUUCUGGAAGAGGGCUAACAAAGAGGAAAAAUAGACACAAUUAUUUUCUGCCGAGUGAGAAUACGUUGUUCUAGAAAACCUGGUGCAGCUGACUGAGCACGGGACUGGCAACCAGGCAGUCUGUGCUCUCCUAUGGCUGCAAUGGGUCUGAAAACUUUGAACUCACAAGGGUUAAUCUAUUUGAGUCAUUGGAGAGAGAGAGAAUCACCAAAA